RNAcentral lists this non-coding RNA (30 nucleotides) under Rattus norvegicus (Norway rat). The record is from RNAcentral. Lineage: Eukaryota; Metazoa; Chordata; Mammalia; Rodentia; Muridae.
UGUCAUGACCGGGCUGUCCUGCUCUAUGAA